RNAcentral lists this transfer RNA (73 nucleotides) under Monodelphis domestica (gray short-tailed opossum). It matches the Rfam family "tRNA". Rfam says of the family: Transfer RNA (tRNA) molecules are approximately 80 nucleotides in length. Their secondary structure includes four short double-helical elements and three loops (D, anti-codon, and T loops). Further hydrogen bonds mediate the characteristic L-shaped molecular structure. tRNAs have two regions of fundamental functional importance: the anti-codon, which is responsible for specific mRNA codon recognition, and the 3' end, to which the tRNAs corresponding amino acid is attached (by aminoacyl-tRNA synthetases). tRNAs cope with the degeneracy of the genetic code in two manners: having more than one tRNA (with a specific anti-codon) for a particular amino acid; and 'wobble' base-pairing, i.e. permitting non-standard base-pairing at the 3rd anti-codon position. The record is from Rfam by way of RNAcentral. Lineage: Eukaryota; Metazoa; Chordata; Mammalia; Didelphimorphia; Didelphidae.
AGCUAAGUGGCACAGUGGAUAGAGCACCUGGCCUGGAAUCAGGAAGACCUUAGUUCAAAUGUGACCUUGGCCA